AGAUACAUGAAACUUUAUAUAUGAGAGAGCGUAUCGAGUAGUGUAUCAAAGAGGAAAGGGGUGACUGUUGGAAACAUAUAAGAAAAGAAAUGAAAUUGGAAGUGUACAUUUCAUUAUACACACAAAAAAAUAAAUUCCAGUUGAAUACGAAUCUAAAUAUGAAAGAAACCUCAAAUACCAUGAAGAGACUGCCUUUCUUAUCUUAGGAUGGAGAAGAAUUUCAUAAUGAAGACACAAAGAGUUCUUCAUAAAAGAACAUCAAGAAAAUUUUAUUAAAAUUUAAAACUGUUCAUCAAAAUAUACAAUAAAGUGAAAGUAUAAACCACAAACUAGGAGGAGAUACAUUCAACACAUAAAACUUAUACCAAUUGGUAUCCAGAACCUCCAAAGAACUACAAACCAGUAAGAAAAAAAAAAAUAGAAAAAUGAGCAAAUAAAAUGAAAAGACAUUUUACAGAAGAAGAAACAGUGUGGUCAAUAAACAUAUACAAAAAUAUUCAACCCGUCUUAAUGUAACCAGAAAAGCACAAAAAGGGUUUAAUGAGGUACCAUUUCAUACCUGUAGAUUAGCAAAAACUAAGAAGUCAAACAAUAUCUUUAUCAGUCAAAAAAAUGAAAAACAUAAAGUUAACAGAGAGAAUUAAUAUGGAGAAUUUGUUACAUGGUGUUGAAGUACAGAAAAAACAAAAAGGAAAUACAGGGGUGUAGCACAAAGUUACUGCAGGAGGCAGUUACUACCUCUUACCUGUUAGACUAGAGGAAUGAAAGAAAGUGGUAGGGGUUAUCAUAACUUCGAAGCUGAAAGAGACAAACUAGAGAGUUAGGACCCAGACUUUUGCCUUACUGCUACUGUUUUUCAGGAGUACAGAGGAAGGAUCCAAGGAGCAAGACACAGAAUUCUGAGGAGGAUGUUCCAUUGGCUGCUACUGGCUGUGGAAACUAGAAAACCACAGCUAUAACCAACUGCUGCUGCUAAGGUGAGAUCCCAUAUUUGGAAUUACAUUGACAAGAAUGCCAAACAAACAAGAAAGAAAGUCCCUUAUGCCUCCUCCUACUUUCCAAACUCUCUCAUGUACCCAACCUUAGCAGAAACCAAAAGGAUGCAAGCUGGCAAACAAACAAAAACAAAAACAAAAACCUAUAGUUUUGAUCGUACUAGCUCCAUCAAUAAGUCAGUACAUAC
RNAcentral lists this long non-coding RNA (1183 nucleotides) under Pan troglodytes (chimpanzee). RNAcentral describes it as "long non-coding RNA NONPTRT012417". Lineage: Eukaryota; Metazoa; Chordata; Mammalia; Primates; Hominidae. The record is from RNAcentral.